AUUAAGUUGUUUCUCUCUGUAAAUGCUGUGACUUCCUCUUUUUAGUGUCAAAGGGUGUUUGUUAUUGUUUGUUUGUGAAAAAUUUGAUUCAUGGGUUAUUUUCUCCUAAUCAUCUGUGGCACAGAAGGCUGACACUACAAAUGAAGGACAGCACAAACCAAGGACAUAUUCACCAAAAUACAAAAGAGGUUGCCUGAAGAGUAUAUGAAAUUGGAAGCAACUUCUAAGGAAAUGCAGCCUGACUUCAAGGGUGUUAUCCUAACAGAAAACAACUACUCCAAAUGGCAUGUAAUUAGAGAAGAAGGAUGCAGUACCUAACCAGUCAUUACUGUAGCAUAAAUUUGCCAUAGCGUGUGAUUAAUCUAAGAAAGGCACGAUGAUGAUCUCACCACGUCUGCU
Long non-coding RNA from Columba livia (rock pigeon), 399 nucleotides. RefSeq lists it as uncharacterized. Lineage: Eukaryota; Metazoa; Chordata; Aves; Columbiformes; Columbidae. The transcript has 3 exons. The record is from RefSeq and is a predicted model, not a curated record.